AUCAUUAGUUUUCUAUAUUUUUGUGUUUUUGUUUCAUUUUGUUUGUGAUUUUAUUUUGGGCCUUUAGCUCUUUCUAUAUCGGGUGAAAAAAAACAAAAAACAUCGGCAGAGAAUUUGGUUCAAUGGGCUGAAUGGAUUGGAUCAAGAUAGUUGAUGAAUAAAGUGAGGGGUUGGUGUGCUAUGCCUUGUUAGGUUGUUGG
Molecule: long non-coding RNA, 200 nt
Filed under: Elaeis guineensis (African oil palm)
Lineage: Eukaryota; Viridiplantae; Streptophyta; Magnoliopsida; Arecales; Arecaceae
Description: long non-coding RNA (EGUI_LNC013011)
Source: RNAcentral